Hibiscus syriacus is the source of this 448-nucleotide long non-coding RNA. RefSeq lists it as uncharacterized. The transcript has 4 exons. The record is from RefSeq and is a predicted model, not a curated record. NCBI's taxonomy places the organism in Eukaryota, Viridiplantae, Streptophyta, Magnoliopsida, Malvales, Malvaceae.
UUUACUUUUUCCUGGAUUUUAGUAAAAUGAUUUGGAGGAAUCCAUAUAUUAGGCAUGGUUACCCGAGUACCUGUUAUAUAUUGUUCACGUUUUGAUGAUGGUGUUCUAAUAAUUCCACAGAUCAAAGCUUUUCAUCUUUAUGAUUGCUUGAGAGCAAACAAGUCAACUUCAGCAUGGGGACUUGAAGCUCGUGUACCCUUUUUAGAUAAAGAGUUCAUCAACGUUGCAAUGAGUAUAGAUCCUGAGUGGAAAAUGAUCAGGCCUGAUCUUGGGAGGAUUGAGAAGUAGGUCUUAUGUAAUGCAUUUGACGAUGAUCAGAAGCCAUAUCUGCCUAAGCACAUUUUAUGCAGACAGAAAGAGCAGUUCAGUGAUGGAGUUGGAUACGGUUGGAUUGAUGGUUUGAAGGACCAUGCGAGAAACAGGUCACUGAUGCAAUGUUGAUGAAUGC